RNAcentral lists this ribosomal RNA (274 nucleotides) under uncultured bacterium. Its description in RNAcentral is "partial 16S ribosomal RNA". It matches the Rfam family "Bacterial small subunit ribosomal RNA", at positions 523 to 796 of the family's 1533-position model. The record is from RNAcentral.
AUACGGAGGGUGCGAGCGUUAAUCGGAAUUACUGGGCGUAAAGCGUGCGUAGGCGGUUUGUUAAGUCAGAAGUGAAAGCCCUGGGCUCAACCUGGGAACGGCUUUUGAGACUGGCAGACUAGAGUUGAGUAGAGGGGAGUGGAAUUCCCGGUGUAGCGGUGAAAUGCGUAGAGAUCGGAAGGAACACCAGUGGCGAAGGCGACUCCCUGGACUCAAACUGACGCUGAGGUACGAAAGCGUGGGUAGCAAACAGGAUUAGAAACCCUAGUAGUCC